Molecule: long non-coding RNA, 3559 nt
Filed under: Heterocephalus glaber (naked mole-rat)
Lineage: Eukaryota; Metazoa; Chordata; Mammalia; Rodentia; Bathyergidae
Description: lncRNA (ENSHGLG00000041235.1)
Source: RNAcentral
CUUAAGCGGUAUGGAAUUGAUAAGGAUGUAGCCCGAACUGGACAGGGCGUGGCCCAAAAUGGACAGUGUGAUAAGUCUGAACCAAUACCACAAACGCCCAGUUAGAAUAGUAUAAAAGGAGCUGAAGACCUCAAGCAAGUGGACGAUCCGUCCCACGGACCAGUCUACUAGUCAGUCUGCUGAUCUGACUACCGACCAGGACAUCUGCACCUGAUCCCGCUGGAAGGAGCAUCGCCGCCGACCUGACGAGACCAGAGGACGAGGCCAGCGGAGAGACGGACAGCCUAGCGCCGACUCGACGCCCUUCGUCUACGGAUCGGACCCUCUGACCCUGCGGGAGGAAACGUCGCGCUCCCACAAGGACUUGCGCAGUACAGCUAAAGUAAUACCUAGAGAUGGAGAAUUCCUGGAAUGGCCAUCACUGCCUUUCGCUACAAAGCAAGGAAGCAGGCAGAGGAAACUAACUGCAUCUUGCCCUGACCUUGUGGCUGAGAAGGCAGAUGGAAGCAUGGUCUGGGAGUCUGUUUUCCUAAACUGACAGCGUGUUGAAGGAGACAGGUGGAGAGGAAGCCCUAGGACACAGGGCUGGCCUGUGCUGCUCUAUCCCCACCGAUGGCUCUAAUGUCCAGGAGCACCUCUGUUGGGGUGAACUCCCUCCCAGAAGCUCCAUGUGUCCUUGACAGAGAGCCAGGCUGGUCUGGGUUUGAAACAAGCAUCUUGUAGCCAGGCGUGGUGGUACAUGCCUAUAAUCCCAAAACUUCGGAGGCUGAGGCAGGGGGAAUGCCACGAGUUCAAGGCCAGCCUGCACUACAUAGCAAGACCCCGUCUCAACAACAAUAACAACACACACACACACACACACACACACACACACACAAACCAACAACAGAAAUAUGCCAUUUCCCAGUUUUAGAUCAAAGUCUCAGAUCAGGGUGUCUUUGGGGUUGAUUUCUCAGAGCCUGUGGCCCAUCCUCCUGGCUCCUCUUAGCUUGAUCACCAGCAAGCAUCCAGACUCUAAUCAGGUCACCCGGAUUUCAACCUCUGGGCGGAGGGGCACAGUUCAGCCCAGGACACCAGAGGAGCCCUCACCAAGAGACAGCCCUGAGCAGACAGAAGCUGCUGAUGAGUCCCAGGUCCUGCAAGAACAGGAGUGUUGUGCACACAGUGGGUGUCCUUGUGACGGCAAGAUGGCCAUUUGGGUGGGCAGAAGGAGCAAGGGCAGGAGGGGCUAGAGUCAGGAAGGGUCCAGGGGCCCGAGCAGGGGCUCAGGAGGACUCAGCAGGCAUUUCCUGCUUUGGCAUAAGGACUCCUUCAAAUCCACCGGCCCACCACUCCACAGCGCAGGCGCUGUGGGGACAGGGAAGGGGCAUCCCAAGGUGGAGGGCAAGUGAGGACGGUCCUUUCCUGGCUUUUCAGAGUCAUCUUUUUGGUUGCUGUAUCCCUCAGCCCCUCCCUGUACCCUGUGCUGGCCCGGCCAGCCUCCUGCUCUGUAGGGCACCACACCAAGUGUCACAGUGCACAACACUGUUGUAUCAGCAAAUGCGGCUGACUGAGACCUGUGUCCCCAUCUGCACAGCAGACCAAAGAGAUGGGACUGGGCCAAACUCUUGCUUUUCUUGGGAUCUGUGGUUCCCGGCUGCCAUGGCUUGUAGGGGCUUCCAACACACCCCAAGAACCACCAGCUUCCACAGUAACAGAAACUGCUUGGGACCGACUGGCAGGGUAUAAACCUGUUCAAUAUGUUCCUCAUUUCCUACAAAACUACAUAUGCCUGGAAACAACAGGGAAGAAAUGCACCAAAAUGCUAACAGUUCUGUCUCUGUGAUGACAUUUUUGUAAAUAUGUUUUGAGCUUUCUACAUUUUCCACCACCACAAUACAAAAAUCAUUUUUUAUUUUGUUUUGUUCUGUUUUUGUUUUCUUGAGACAGGCAACAAUUGCCUUGUGUAGUUCAAGGCGAUUCUCCUGCCUCAGCCUCCCAAGUGCUGGGAUUACAGGAUGUGUCACCAUGCCCGGCUCAAAAGUCAUUUUUAAAAUGCAUUUAUAAACUAUUUUGUUUAAGCUUGAAUGCAGUGAAAUGGUAGGAGUCCCUUUAGGUGAUAAUCGGGUGACUUCAAUGCUUGCCAUUUGGAAAAUCACAGUUUUAUUUGAAUUGCAAAAGGACUUCUCUGUGUUGCCUUCUAAAAUUUCACCCAGGGACACUAAUUUAGAAGUCCAGUGCUGUAGAAACCCAGGCCCUGUAGCAAAAUUGCUUUUGCAAGAAGCUCCGUAAUCUACCCACCCCACCCCAUCUAUGAGGACUUCAGCGGUAGCCCUGCAGGAUGAGCAAAGCUGGCCUUCCACCCUUUCCAGAGAAGGCCUGUGUGUGCAUGCAUGUAUGAGUGUGUAUGAGUGUGUGUGUGUGUGUGUGCGCGCGCACAUGUCGUGACAGCAACAUGUGACCUUGGGAAAAUUAUUUAGCCUCUCUCAGUAGGCAGCAUAUUGGCUCCCAAAGAGGUGUGUUCCAAAUUCCUGCAAGCUGGGAGUACCUUAAUGAACUUGGUAGCAGCUGGCCUCAGACACCCGCUUCUCCAUCUUCAUACACCUGGUUCUGUCCCUGGUCCCCCAGGGAAGGUGGGGGUGCUGGCAAGGGAAACUAGCUACCGCCUGCCUAGAAUAGCCCAAGCAGCUUGCCGUAAUGGUGAGAAACAGCGAAAGAGACAGGUCAAGGAUGCAGCUCAGUGGCAGAGCAUGGGCUCAGCAGCAUGGGCCCUGGGCCUGUGACCCUGUAACCCACCACAGAGAGAGUGGGUGAGUGAAGGACAAAACACAGCUUCAUUCAAGACACCUGAAAAAAGCUUCCAAAUGUAACACAACCUAAAUAAGAGACUCUCUGUGGGGACUCCGCAUUUCAGAAUAAUGCAAUAUGAAUAUAAUUCAAUAAAAUAAAAAUUUAAAAAUAAGAUAAAAAUAACAGAAUGAGAUGAAAUGGGAGACUGCAGAACUAACACAUUGAAAACCAACACACACACAAAGAAAACUAAAACACUAUGACUACUGAUCUAAUAAAUUAGAGAAUAAACUAAAAGGAGCUAAAUAUCAAAUUAAUAUUAUGAAGGAAAGACUCAAAAGUGGAUGCAUAGGAAAAAGAUAAAGAGAUUAAAGCAAUUAGAAAGGAUAUGGUAGAAGGGUGGCACACACCUGUAAUCCCAGCACUCUGACAGGCUGAGGCAGGAGGAUCGCAAAUUCCAGGCAAGCUUGGGCAACUUGGUGACUUAGCAAAACUCUCAAAAAAUAGGACAGGGGGCCAGGGAUGCAGCUCAGUGUGAAGGCCAUGGAUUCAGUCUCAAAUACUUCUUCCUCCUUUUCUCCUUCCUUUUUGCAGAGGAAGGAGGAGGAGGAGGAUGAAGAGAAGUGAUAGAUACAAAAGUCAAAGAUCUACUAACUUUAGGAUAAUUGGGAUUUCUCAUGUACUCAUCUCAACAAAACGAGCUUAAAAGCCGUCAGAUAUAAUGCAGGAAACUCUUCUAAUGUCUAAUAAAAAUUCACAGUAAAAACUUAAGACAUGCAGCGUAUACCAG